GCACUGCUGAAGAAUCUCAAAACAAGACGAAAUGGCCGUCCAGUGC
Non-coding RNA from Schistosoma curassoni, 46 nucleotides. Lineage: Eukaryota; Metazoa; Platyhelminthes; Trematoda; Strigeidida; Schistosomatidae. The record is from Rfam.